Bombus impatiens (common eastern bumble bee) is the source of this 468-nucleotide long non-coding RNA. RefSeq lists it as uncharacterized. The transcript is spliced from 2 exons. NCBI's taxonomy places the organism in Eukaryota, Metazoa, Arthropoda, Insecta, Hymenoptera, Apidae. The record is from RefSeq and is a predicted model, not a curated record.
UCUUAUUUCGUGACUAUGUAAAUGAAUCACGUCCAUCCAGCCGUUAUCGAUUCUUUGUACUGUUGAUUUAUAAGUAGAAAGUAACCGUUGGUCAUGUCGGCUAAUUUCAGGGAUUAUUGUUAAUACAGAUGCUGAUAGUUUAUGAAUGCAAGAAUUGAUUAGACAAUACGAAGAUUAAAAUAUUACUUUAAUAAUAAUCAAUAAAUAGAAAAAUUUUUUCAAAUGCAAAAAAGGUGAAGACACUAGCGUAACGUGCUUUCACCUUCAAUCAAAGAUGAAGGAAGAUGAAAGGACUGGUUCAAAGAAUCAACGAAAUUAUAAAUAAAUUUAAGCAUUGUCUGUAUAUUUGUAUUAUGCACUUUUAUACGUCAUUUUUAAGCGAAUUAUUAUAUAUUGUCUAGUUGAAUGUAUUUCACCGUGUAUUCUUAUUAAAAAGAUAAUUAUAAUUAAUAAUAAAUUAUUGUAAAU